This is a long non-coding RNA of Cyprinus carpio (common carp), 1925 nucleotides long. The record is from Ensembl. Lineage: Eukaryota; Metazoa; Chordata; Actinopteri; Cypriniformes; Cyprinidae.
GAAAGAAAUAUGAUAAUGCACUCCAAAAAUAAAUUAAUAAAUAAAGCCUGCUUUUUUAAUAUAUAUUAUUGAAUAUUUAUUACAGGGUUGUGAUCAACAUUUAAUUAACUCUUUCUCUCCUUUUUUUUUUUUUUUUUUUUUUUUGUGACCAGAACAAAGACAUUCCAAAGCAGAAAAACUACACAUUUCAUCAGACCAACAUACUGUGCUGUGUACAGACCUGCAAAGAUGCCCUUUCCACAGUUUUUAAGACUAUUUGGGGGCCAAAUGACCAAAAUGAGUAUGGUGACUUCAGUUCCACUGAGCAUUUUGUUAGUGGGUUUGCAGGCGAUGACUGAUGUAAAAUUUUCAUGUCCGUGCAUUCAUAAGUGGAAUAUAACUAUAUCAAUUUUAAUCUUUGUUGCUCCUGCUUGUGUUGCUUUUGUUAUAAUGCUAUUGUUAUUAAGGCCUUGGAAAUAUGAAUGUGAACGGAAUAAAUGGAAAUGUGGCUGUUGUGGAAAACAAAACAACAGAGGAGCAUCUCAAGGAGGAAACAACGGAGGAGCAUCUCAAGGAGGAAACAACAGAGAAGCAUUUCAAAGAGUAGACAAGAAAGAAGCAUCUCAGUCUGAAAUAAAUGAGCUUAAUGUAAAUUUGAGUUGUGAAAAAGCUGUUUUAGUUUGUUUUACUCCGAGUCUUGUGUGGAUCUGUUUAUGUUUCAUUGAUGGUGAUUAUCUCGCAUGUGGAGCUACAUACUGGGAUGGACACUAUGCCUGUGAUAAAGAACUGCAUCCAAAUUGUCUGAAUUGGUGCAAACCCAAUGAUCUGAGCCAAGGAAAAAAAGAGACUGAACAAGAAUAUGUAAAAACACGACAUGUGAUUGCCAUAUCAAAGACUACAGGUUAUGUUCUGGCUAUUAUCCUCUGCAUCAUAGCAAUUAUUAUUGUGAUGUGUGACUGCUGCAAAUGUGGAAAAUCAACAUGCUGUGGAAGUACAGAUCCAGAGAGACAGAGUCAUAGAGGGCAAGAUCCAGGUACUGCCGAGAUAAACAGAGACAGCGGAGGAGCAUCUCAAGGAGGAGACAUCAGAGGAGCAUCUCAAGGAGGAGACAACGGAGGAGCAUCUCAAGGAGGAGACAUCGGAGGAGCAUCUCAAGGAGGAGACAAAGGAGGAGCAAGUGAGAUUGUCAGACUCAUGGACACCCCUUUGUAAGUGACAGUAUCAGUGACAUCAAAUGCCAUCAGCUUUUGUGUACAUUGUGACCUUACAAAGUUUGGUUGUAUCUUCUUGUGAGAUUUUUAGUUGAAAAUAUUACAUUAUUUCUCACAUAAGGUAUGGCAUACAGCACAGGAGUCAAGGGUAUUUUUGUACUGAUUUUUUUUUUUCUUUUGUAUUUUUACAUUUUUUUUAUAAAAGAUGCUUUGCAAGCUGCAUAAAGAAAUGAAUAAUACAGUUCAUAGAGGUUUGUAUGUUACAUUUACAUUUUAUUCCAAAGAUUAAUUUCCUGUUUGUGAUUUUAUUUUACUUUUUAAUUGAGAUAUUAAAAAAAAAAAAAAAAAAACUUCACAAGUUGUUUACAAUUACCUAAACAAAUGUACAAUUUUAUUAAAAUUUGACAGCUGUUCUUCGUGUGUCUGGGUUUGAAUGAUUUAUUCAGGUUCACUUUAGAAAUCUACAUCAGCAACAGCAAUAUAUUUUAUACAGAAUCCUCCAGAAAAACUAUUGAUUAUGCCAGCUGAAUUUAGUUGCAGACGAAAUCUGCAUUUCUUAAAUGCAUUUCUCCCAACAAAGUGUUCUCAAAAAGUAAGUUUUGGAAUAUGCAUGAGUAGCCCAUUGUAUUCAUGGUCCCUUUCAUGUUCCCUAUCUCAUUGUUUAUGAUCAAUGUAAACAGAUCCUUUUAAAUAUUUAAAAAUAAAGAUCUAAUGUUCCAUAUUAGAGAUCUGAUC